This 236-nucleotide long non-coding RNA is filed under the name Carica papaya (papaya). Its description in RNAcentral is "long non-coding RNA (CPAP_LNC003294)". Lineage: Eukaryota; Viridiplantae; Streptophyta; Magnoliopsida; Brassicales; Caricaceae. The record is from RNAcentral.
AUUUUCUAAUUUUUAUUAUUUAAUAUAUUCUAUACUUAUAACGCGCAUACUAUAACCAUUCAUCACCCUAGACUCUUCUACCUACUGCUAAUAUACUCCCAAUUACAUAGCAACUAGUAUAUACACGAAUUCAGUUACCAAAACAUAACGAAAUAAUUCAUCAGCAAUUUCAGUAGUGAACAUAAAUAAGAACACAAAAAUCAGUAGAAAAAUCUCGUCGGAAUCAUGUGCCUAAU